This 529-nucleotide ribosomal RNA is filed under the name Candidatus Cryptobacteroides merdigallinarum. Its description in RNAcentral is "bacterial SSU rRNA". It matches the Rfam family "Bacterial small subunit ribosomal RNA", at positions 1 to 522 of the family's 1533-position model. The record is from RNAcentral. Lineage: Bacteria; Pseudomonadati; Bacteroidota; Bacteroidia; Bacteroidales.
ACAAAGAAGAGUUUGAACCUGGCUCAGGAUGAACGCUAGCGGCAGGCUUAACACAUGCAAGUCGAGGGGCAGCACGGGGAGUAGCAAUACUUUCUGGUGGCGACCGGCGGAAGGGUGCGUAACGCGUGAGCAACCUGCCCUCCACAAGGGGAUAACCGGCGGAAACGGCGACUAAUACCCUAUAUGAGAAGUCCCGGCAUCGGGACGUCUCGAAAGGACUACGGUGGAGGAUGGGCUCGCGAGACAUUAGCCAGUCGGCGGGGUAACGGCCCACCGAAGCGACGAUGUCUAGGGGUUCUGAGAGGAAGGGCCCCCACACUGGAACUGAGACACGGUCCAGACUCCUACGGAAGGCAGCAGUGAGGAAUAUUGGUCAAUGGGCGGAAGCCUGAACCAGCCAUGCCGCGUGAAGGAUAAGGUCCUAUGGACUGUCAACUUCUUUGGCGGGGGAGCAAUAAGGGGCACGUGUGCCCCGAUGAGAGUACCCCGCAAAAAAGCAUCGGCUAACUCCGUGCCAGCAGCCGCGGUA